UGUAAUGUUAAGGAAACAAGCAUUGCUGAUUUUGAUUGGCUCCUUUUGAGAUGAAUGAGAAAAGAGUUUCAGUUUCUUUCCGCAUUCAGAACUCGGCUCUUAAAUUCUUAAUCACUCAAGAUUCUUCUUACACAAAACUCCUGGGACAGAACCAAGCGCUAGAAGACUUGCUGAAGCAAACACUAGACAGACGAUUAUAAAUGAACAAGUCAUCCGUCAUAAAACAACAAGGCAUCUCCAAGACUUGACAGAGAAUCAACAUCUGAACAACUGUAUGUAUAACUUUCAUUCCCUGCUCUAGACGCUUUAAUGACUUGUGCAAUUGAGGUUAUGAACUCUUUGUU
This 344-nucleotide small RNA is filed under the name Arabidopsis thaliana (thale cress). RNAcentral's name for it is "ATSL281330". Lineage: Eukaryota; Viridiplantae; Streptophyta; Magnoliopsida; Brassicales; Brassicaceae. The record is from RNAcentral.